This 253-nucleotide ribosomal RNA is filed under the name uncultured bacterium. RNAcentral's name for it is "partial 16S ribosomal RNA". It matches the Rfam family "Bacterial small subunit ribosomal RNA", at positions 524 to 776 of the family's 1533-position model. The record is from RNAcentral.
GACGGAGGAUGCAAGCGUUAUCCGGAAUGAUUGGGCGUAAAGCGUCCGCAGGUGGCCGUUCAAGUCUGCUGUCAAAGCCCGGGGCUUAACUUCGGAAAGGCAGUGGAAACUGAACAGCUAGAGUAUGGUAGGGGCAGAGGGAAUUCCUGGUGUAGCGGUGAAAUGCGUAGAGAUCAGGAAGAACAUCGGUGGCGAAGGCGCUCUGCUGGACCAUAACUGACACUGAGGAGCGAAAGUGUGGGGAGCGAACAGG